This 347-nucleotide ribosomal RNA is filed under the name uncultured bacterium. Its description in RNAcentral is "partial 16S ribosomal RNA". It matches the Rfam family "Bacterial small subunit ribosomal RNA", at positions 338 to 699 of the family's 1533-position model. The record is from RNAcentral.
CCUACGGGAGGCAGCAGUGGGGAAUAUUGGGCAAUGGGCGCAAGCCUGACCCAGCAACGCCGCGGGAAGGAAGAAGGCUUUCGGGUUGUAAACUGCUUGUCUGAGGGACGAAGAAAGUGACGGUACCUCAGGAAUAAGCCACGGCGAACUACGUGCCAGCAGCCGCGGGAAUACGUAGGUGGCAAGCGUUAGCCGGAAUUAUUGGGGGGAAAGGGCGUGGAGGCGGGAAAGCCAUUCAGAUGUGAAAAAUCCGGGCUCAACCCUUAGCCAGCCUUUGAAACUGUUUUUCUUUCGUGCUGGGGAGGCACUCCGCAUUCCGUGUGUAGCGGUGCAAUGCGUAGCUAUAC